GACGAACCGUGCGAACGUUGUUCGGAAUAACUGGGCUUAAAGGGAGCGUAGGCGGGCUAACAAGUCUGGGGUGAAAUCCCGCGGCUCAACCGUGGAACUGCCUUAGAUACUGUCGGCCUCGAGGGAGAUAGGGGCAUGCGGAACUAACGGUGGAGCGGUGAAAUGCGUUGAUAUCGUUAGGAACUCCGGUGGCGAAAGCGGCGUGCUGGAUCUCUUCUGACGCUGAGGCUCGAAAGCUAGGGGAGACA
This 248-nucleotide ribosomal RNA is filed under the name uncultured bacterium. RNAcentral's name for it is "partial 16S ribosomal RNA". It matches the Rfam family "Bacterial small subunit ribosomal RNA", at positions 524 to 771 of the family's 1533-position model. The record is from RNAcentral.